Molecule: ribosomal RNA, 232 nt
Filed under: Bacillus nakamurai
Lineage: Bacteria; Bacillati; Bacillota; Bacilli; Caryophanales; Bacillaceae
Description: partial 16S ribosomal RNA
Rfam family: Bacterial small subunit ribosomal RNA
Source: RNAcentral
UGGGCGUAAGGGCUCGCAGGCGGUUUCUUAAGUCUGAUGUGAAAGCCCCCGGCUCAACCGGGGAGGGUCAUUGGAAACUGGGGAACUUGAGUGCAGAAGAGGAGAGUGGAAUUCCACGUGUAGCGGUGAAAUGCGUAGAGAUGUGGAGGAACACCAGUGGCGAAGGCGACUCUCUGGUCUGUAACUGACGCUGAGGAGCGAAAGCGUGGGGAGCGAACAGGAUUAGAUACCC